GGACCAUGGCUCAGUGGAAGAGCAUCUGCUUUGCCUGUAAAAGGUCCCAGGUUCAAUCCCCAGCGUAUCCA
RNAcentral lists this transfer RNA (71 nucleotides) under Sphaerodactylus townsendi. RNAcentral's name for it is "tRNA-Ala". The record is from RNAcentral. Lineage: Eukaryota; Metazoa; Chordata; Lepidosauria; Squamata; Sphaerodactylidae.